RNAcentral lists this ribosomal RNA (466 nucleotides) under uncultured bacterium. Its description in RNAcentral is "partial 16S ribosomal RNA". It matches the Rfam family "Bacterial small subunit ribosomal RNA", at positions 28 to 507 of the family's 1533-position model. The record is from RNAcentral.
GACGAACGCUGGCGGCGUGCUUAACACAUGCAAGUCGAACGGAAAGGCCCUGCUUGCAGGGUACUCGAGUGGCGAACGGGUGAGUAACACGUGGGUGAUCUGCCCUGCACUUCGGGAUAAGCUUGGGAAACUGGGUCUAAUACCGGAUAGGAACCAUCUUUAGUGUGGUGGUUGGAAAGUUUUUUCGGUGUAGGAUGAGCUCGCGGCCUAUCAGCUUGUUGGUGGGGUAAUGGCCUACCAAGGCGGCGACGGGUAGCCGGCCUGAGAGGGUGUACGGCCACAUUGGGACUGAGAUACGGCCCAGACUCCUAUGGGAGGCAGCAGUGGGGAAUAUUGCACAAUGGGCGCAAGCCUGAUGCAGCGACGCCGCGUGGGGGAUGAAGGCCUUCGGGUUGUAAACUCCUUUCGCUAGGGACGAAGCUUUGUUGUGACGGUACCUAGAUAAGAAGCACCGGCUAACUACGUG